CCUUAAGUUGAGAUUUGCUACCUCCACCACCCUUUAGUAAACUCUCCAUCACCUUCCCAUUGUUUUUUUUGCUAAAAAGAUCACCGCCAAGACCACUAAGUGCACUAUCUUCUCAUUUUCUUUUUCCCCAUCUUCCUCUAUGCACAUGAUUAGAGCACCACUACUCAAAGAGGCAAUGGUUGUGUGCCACAAGGCUAUACCCCCCC
This 206-nucleotide long non-coding RNA is filed under the name Elaeis guineensis (African oil palm). Its description in RNAcentral is "long non-coding RNA (EGUI_LNC049607)". The record is from RNAcentral. Lineage: Eukaryota; Viridiplantae; Streptophyta; Magnoliopsida; Arecales; Arecaceae.